UGACCCAGGAGUUUUACAGGCUGCAGACAUCAUCAGAGAAGCGGUCGGCGGAGCUGCAAGCUCAGAAUGCCGAGCAAGCGUCUCGGCUGGAGACGUAUGAAAAGCUCGAGCAAGAGUUGGACCAAGUCACCAUGCAGGCUGCCGAAAUUGAGAAUGAAGAGGAGGCAGAGAGAGUUCUGUUCUCAUACGGCUACGGAGCCAAUGUCCCCACAACGGCUAAAAGAAGACUAAAACAAAGCGUUCACCUGGCCCGCAGGGUGCUGCAGCUCGAGAGGCAGAACACAUCACUGAGGAGAGAGCUGGAGAGAGACAAGUCACAGACAGGACAGAUAUCUGAGGAG
Long non-coding RNA from Morone saxatilis (striped sea-bass), 341 nucleotides. RefSeq lists it as uncharacterized. The record is from RefSeq and is a predicted model, not a curated record. The transcript has 3 exons. Lineage: Eukaryota; Metazoa; Chordata; Actinopteri; Moronidae.